This is a long non-coding RNA of Drosophila sulfurigaster albostrigata, 1401 nucleotides long. RefSeq lists it as uncharacterized. The record is from RefSeq and is a predicted model, not a curated record. The transcript is spliced from 3 exons. NCBI's taxonomy places the organism in Eukaryota, Metazoa, Arthropoda, Insecta, Diptera, Drosophilidae.
UGUCACAACUAUUGAUUAACAUUAUAAAAUAGUUGAACUAUAUAUUUAUACAAUUUAAAUUUGUAAUGUCCAUCUAUCCCACCAUCCGUCAGCUAUUGCGUCAAACAUUUUGUCGACAUUUAAGCAACCUUCUAGGAAAUAGUUUCAACUUGUUCAUAGCACAACAUAUUUGUUGAGCGACAGCCAAAGUUCAAGUGAAAAGUUGCUAAACUACGUCGUAUUUCGGUCAGCUUUACACACAUUAUUGACCUUUUAUCAUUUGGCACCUCGAAAGCCCCGAAAAAUAUUGUGAGUCUUGGUGUAAGGUAAACGGAAUUUCACCAUCUGUGUGUGGCGCAAUGUUUAAAGUUUAGUGUUUGGCCAACAUUGUUGUUGACCCACCCACACAGAGGCAUAAUCUAACACUGGCCGUGUGUGCUGUCUAGCUGUCAGCCAAGUGCAGAGCGGCAACAACUGGCUGGCAUAUGAGAGGAAGUGUUGUGAAAAGUGAAAAGUGGGAAAGGGGGUACCAGGGCAUCAUCAUAAACGUUUAUUACGCCCAUAAAUAGCCUCUUCGGUUCUGUCACUGUUGCUGGUUCUGGCUUCUGGCUUCGGGAGCUACUUACUCAAUUUUCCAACCACGCCGGAAAUGCAAAUUAUAAUGAUAUAUUGGCUGUGAAAAAAACACAAACGCGACAGCCGCUGCUGAAAAAGGAGAGCUCGACAAUGCGCCUAAUGGAGGAAGAUUCACGAGCCGAGGAGGUGGAUAGACACUGCCGUCGUGGCUUAGGAUUACCGCUAACGGUAAUAAAUAGACCUGCCACGCGUGUGUAAUUUAGAGAGGAAACUCAGGCCAUCGGCUCGGCUUCUUCUGGCUCCGAACGAGGAUGAGAACGAGAACAAGGACCGUCGCGACGACAUCGCGGCCGUUGACAGUAAUGAAAUUAUGACAUUGCUAAUAACAGAGUAUUCCGACGGGCUGCAGCUUAAAGAUGUCUUCUUCAUUUCAGUCUCUCACACUCCUCUCUCUUUUGGCUUUGUUUUUGUGUGGGGGAUCUGGGGGUAAAGUCCUAAAAUAUGAUUAGCUGGCAUUUAGCCUGUCCUCCGACUUUGCUACAGCCCAGUGUCGGCGACGGUCCCUCGCUCUGGUCUGCUCUGGUCUGGUCCGUUGGUUGGUGCAAAAAACCCUUUUCAGUAGCCGUCGAAAGGCGAAUUUUUUUCGCCUGUUGUUGUAAUUUAUUUUAAUUAAACUUUGCGCUGAUGAAAUGCUGUUGAUUAGACUUGAAAGACGUGCGCACACAAAGGACUGGAUGGAGACAACACAAAAAACGAAUUGAUUGCCCGAAUGAAGCAACUGAAAGUAAAACAGAGUAUAACAAAAAAAUAAAAAACAAAAUAAAGACCAGCUGAAAAGUAAAGCAC